Molecule: ribosomal RNA, 459 nt
Filed under: uncultured bacterium
Lineage: Bacteria
Description: partial 16S ribosomal RNA
Rfam family: Bacterial small subunit ribosomal RNA
Source: RNAcentral
CCUACGGGAGGCAGCAGUGAGGAAUAUUGGUCAAUGGGCGGAAGCCUGAACCAGCCAAGUAGCGUGCGGGAUGAAGGCCCUACGGGUCGUAAACCGCUUUUGCACGGGGAUAACACCCUCCACUUGUGGAGGUCUGCAGGUACCGUGCGAAUAAGGGCCGGCUAAUUCCGUGCCAGCAGCCGCGGUAAUACGGAAGGCCCGAGCGUUAUCCGGAUUCAUUGGGCUUAAAGGGAGCGUAGGCGGGCGUUCAAGUCAGCUGUAAAAUCGCGCGGCUCAACCGCGCCCCGCAGUUGAAACUGGACGCAUUGAGUUCACAACAGGCAGGAGGAAGUCGUGGGGUAGCGGUGAAAUGCAUAGAUAUCACGAGGAACCCCGAUUGCGAAGGCAGCCUGCCGAGGUGCGACUGACGCUGAGGCUCGAAGGUGCGGGUAUCAAACAGGAUUAGAUACCCGAGUAGUC